This 398-nucleotide ribosomal RNA is filed under the name uncultured Gammaproteobacteria bacterium. Its description in RNAcentral is "bacterial SSU rRNA". It matches the Rfam family "Bacterial small subunit ribosomal RNA", at positions 9 to 417 of the family's 1533-position model. The record is from RNAcentral. Lineage: Bacteria; Pseudomonadati; Pseudomonadota; Gammaproteobacteria.
GAGUUUGAUCAUGGCUCAGAUUGAACGCUGGCGGCAUGCCUAACACAUGCAAGUCGCGCGGGCUGUAGCAAUACAGUUAGCGGCGGACGGGUGAGGAAUACAUAGGAAUUUGCCUUUAGGUGGGGGAUAGCCCAGGGAAACUUGGAGUAAUACCGCAUGAUGUCGAAAGACCAAAGCAGGGGAUCGCAAGACCUUGCGCCUUUAGAGGAGCCUAUGUCUGAUUAGCUAGUUGGUAGGGUAAUGGCCUACCAAGGCGACGAUCAGUAACUGGUCUGAGAGGACGAUCAGUCACACUGGAACUGAGACACGGUCCAGACUCCUACGGGAGGCAGCAGUGGGGAAUAUUGGACAAUGGGCGCAAGCCUGAUCCAGCAAUGCCGCGUGUGUGAAGAAGGCCU